RNAcentral lists this transfer RNA (69 nucleotides) under Anadara broughtonii. RNAcentral's name for it is "Scapharca broughtonii tRNA-Val". The record is from RNAcentral. RNAcentral also lists the same sequence under 1 other name. Lineage: Eukaryota; Metazoa; Mollusca; Bivalvia; Arcoida; Arcidae.
UUUGGAGGUAGUAUAAGUAGUAUUUCUGUCUUACACACAGGUGGUGUCGCGAUAGCCGGCUCUCUAAAA